This 492-nucleotide ribosomal RNA is filed under the name uncultured bacterium. RNAcentral's name for it is "partial 16S ribosomal RNA". It matches the Rfam family "Bacterial small subunit ribosomal RNA", at positions 29 to 507 of the family's 1533-position model. The record is from RNAcentral.
AGUGAACGCUGGCGGUAUGCCUAACACAUGCAAGUCGAACGGCAGCACAGUAAGAGCUUGCUCUUACGGGUGGCGAGUGGCGGACGGUUGAGGAAUACAUCGGAAUCUACUUUUUCGUGGGUGAUAACGUAGGGUAACUUACGCUAAUACCGCAUACGACCUACUGGUGAAAGCAGGGGAUCUUCUGACCUUUCGCUAUUGAAUGAGCCAAUGUCGGAUUAGCUAGUUGGCUGGGUAAAGGCCCACCAAGGCGACGAUCCGUAGCUGGUAUGAGAGGAUGAUUAGACACAUUGGAACUGAGAAACAGUCCAGACUCCUACGGGAGGCAGCAGUGGGGAAUAUUGGACAAUGGGGGCAAGCCUGAUCCAGCAAUAUCGCGUGGGUGAAGAAGGACUUAGGGUUGUAAAGCCAUUUUGUUGGGAAAGAAAAGAAGCAGGUUAAUACCCCGCUGUUAUGACGGUACCCAAAGAAUAAGCACCGGCUAACUUCGUG